UCGAAGGUAGCAUAAUCAGUAGUUUUUUAAUUGAGAACUUGUAUGAAUGGUUGAACAAAAUAUAAACUGUUUCAAUUAAUUUAAUUUGAAUUUAAUUUUUUAGUUAAAAAGCUAAAAUAAUUUAAAAAGACGAGAAGACCCUAUAGAUUUUUAUUAUUUUAAAUAUUUUUUUUAGUAGGUAAAUUAAAAAAUUGUAUUGAUUAUAAUUUUAUUGGGGUGAUAAUAAAAUUUAGUAAACUUUUAUAAGUUAUAACAUGAUAAAUGAUUGUUUGAUCCAUUUUUAUGAUUAAAAGAUUAAAUUACCUUAGGGAUAACAGCGUAAUUUUUAUAUAAAGUUCAUAUUAAUAUAAAAUUUUGCGACCUCGAUGUUGGAUUAA
Molecule: ribosomal RNA, 377 nt
Filed under: Manota unifurcata
Lineage: Eukaryota; Metazoa; Arthropoda; Insecta; Diptera; Mycetophilidae
Description: partial 16S ribosomal RNA
Source: RNAcentral